This 601-nucleotide ribosomal RNA is filed under the name Allomuricauda ruestringensis DSM 13258. Its description in RNAcentral is "bacterial SSU rRNA". It matches the Rfam family "Bacterial small subunit ribosomal RNA", at positions 81 to 680 of the family's 1533-position model. Lineage: Bacteria; Pseudomonadati; Bacteroidota; Flavobacteriia; Flavobacteriales; Flavobacteriaceae. The record is from RNAcentral.
UUUUCCGCCGGCGACCGGCGCACGGGUGCGGAACGCGUAUGGAACCUGCCCCUGUCAGGGGAAUAGCCCAGGGAAACUUGGAUUAAUGCCCCAUGGUACCGCGAUAUCGCAUGAUAUUGCGGUUAAAGAUUUAUCGGACAGGGAUGGCCAUGCGUACCAUUAGUUAGUUGGUGGGGUAACGGCCCACCAAGGCAGCGAUGGUUAGGGGCCCUGAGAGGGGGAUCCCCCACACUGGUACUGAGACACGGACCAGACUCCUACGGGAGGCAGCAGUGAGGAAUAUUGGACAAUGGGCGGGAGCCUGAUCCAGCCAUGCCGCGUGCAGGAUGACGGCCCUAUGGGUUGUAAACUGCUUUUAUACGGGAAGAAAUGCGCCCACGUGUGGGCGUCUGACGGUACCGUAAGAAUAAGGACCGGCUAACUCCGUGCCAGCAGCCGCGGUAAUACGGAGGGUCCGAGCGUUAUCCGGAAUCAUUGGGUUUAAAGGGUCCGUAGGCGGGCCUGUAAGUCAGGGGUGAAAGUUUGUGGCUCAACCAUAAAAUUGCCUUUGAUACUGCAGGUCUUGAGUCAUGGUGGGGUCGCCGGAACAUGUGGUGUAGCG